RNAcentral lists this ribosomal RNA (427 nucleotides) under uncultured bacterium. RNAcentral describes it as "partial 16S ribosomal RNA". It matches the Rfam family "Bacterial small subunit ribosomal RNA", at positions 355 to 774 of the family's 1533-position model. The record is from RNAcentral.
UGGGGAAUAUUGCACAAUGGGCGCAAGCCUGAUGCAGCCAUGCCGCGUGUAUGAAGAAGGCCUUCGGGUUGUAAAGUACUUUCAGCGGGGAGGAAGGUGUUGUGGUUAAUAACCACAGCAAUUGACGUUACCCGCAGAAGAAGCACCGGCUAACUCCGUGCCAGCAGCCGCGGUAAUACGGAGGGUGCAAGCGUUAAUCGGAAUUACUGGGCGUAAAGCGCACGCAGGCGGUCUGUCAAGUCGGAUGUGAAAUCCCCGGGCUCAACCUGGGAACUGCAUCCGAAACUGGCAGGCUUGAGUCUUGUAGAGGGGGGUAGAAUUCCAGGUGUAGCGGUGAAAUGCGUAGAGAUCUGGAGGAAUACCGGUGGCGAAGGCGGCCCCCUGGACGAAGACUGACGCUCAGGUGCGAAAGCGUGGGGAGCAAACA